UAUGGACACGGACACUUGCCCCUCAGCAGAUCAUGAGCACUGGAACUUGAACUUCUCAAAAGUCCUCCCUCAUUCUGCACAUUAUAGUUGUUAAAUUCUGCCUGUAAUUUACUUGGUGCUUUAUGUUUCUUUUUUUAAAAUGUGAUUUUAUCUGUUUAUAUCUUGUUUUUCUAGACUAAUUAUUUUAUUGCUUAGGUCCACUCAGAAGCUGUUGUAACCUAUUCUUUGUGUGGAUUUUCUAACAUUGCCUGGGAAUGUCUAUUGGAGCGCUCUCUGUCAUGGCUCCAAAUAGACAAUCUGAUAUUUCCAGAUGUGUUCUCAGAGCUUUGACUGCUGGAAGCAUGGCCUGUUUCAUUACAGCAUGCAUUGCUGGUAUGCUGUUUAUUCCUGAUUGCCAACACUUUCUGAGCUCAAACAACAACACCAACCUAACAAACAGCAGCAAACAACUGCUGGACUGCUGCUCUCAGCUGUAUAACAGUGUGAUGGUGCACAAGCCGUGGAAUGUGACAGUCGGAGGAGGAGUCACAGAGAGCAGUUUGUGGGGCUGCUGUGCACUAACUCCACCCCAAAGAUUCA
Long non-coding RNA from Poecilia latipinna (sailfin molly), 579 nucleotides. RefSeq lists it as uncharacterized. The transcript is spliced from 4 exons. NCBI's taxonomy places the organism in Eukaryota, Metazoa, Chordata, Actinopteri, Cyprinodontiformes, Poeciliidae. The record is from RefSeq and is a predicted model, not a curated record.